RNAcentral lists this ribosomal RNA (510 nucleotides) under uncultured bacterium. RNAcentral describes it as "partial 16S ribosomal RNA". It matches the Rfam family "Bacterial small subunit ribosomal RNA", at positions 28 to 507 of the family's 1533-position model. The record is from RNAcentral.
GACGAACGCUGGCGGCGUGCUUAACACAUGCAAGUCGAACGAAGAGCGAUGGAAGCUUGCUUCUAUCAAUCUUAGUGGCGAACGGGUGAGUAACGCGUAAUCAACCUGCCCUUCAGAGGGGGACAACAGUUGGAAACGACUGCUAAUACCGCAUACGAUCUAAUCUCGGCAUCGAGGAUAGAUGAAAGGUGGCCUCUACAUGUAAGCUAUCACUGAAGGAGGGGAUUGCGUCUGAUUAGCUAGUUGGAGGGGUAACGGCCCACCAAGGCGAUGCGCACCAGCCGGGCUGAGAGGAGGAACGGCCACAUUGGGACUGAGACACGGCCCAGACUCCUACGGGAGGCAGCGGUGGGGAAUCUUCCGCAAUGGACGAAAGGCUGACGGAGCAACGCCGCGUGAGUGAUGACGGCCUUCGGGUUGUAAAGCUCUGUUAAUCGGGACGAAAGGCCUUCUUGCGAAUAGUGAGAAGGAUUGACGGUACCGGAAUAGAAAGCCACGGCUAACUACGUG